UAGCUCCUCCCACAAAUCGCUCUCUCUUCCUACUUCCACUGUAGGACGCAGUUGCAAAAGGAGGCUUCUCUCCCUCACGGCUUACUUUUUCAAGCCCACUCUUGCUGAUUGCCCCUCUCUCUCUCUCCCAAGCUCUGCAGAAAUCAAUCACAGAAGAAAAUAGCUCAAGUGCUCUUGAUGCUUCCCUAUCCUUCUCUUCUCCUAACUGGAUAUGUUUGGGGCAUAUUGCUGCAAGUAUUUUACGCGGCCUAAUCGGAAGCUAGAUGGCUUAUAUAAUCAGUGUCCUCUAUGUUGAAUAUAGUUCCAAAAAGGAAAAGGAAAACGUUAGCUUCAAGAACCACCACGCCAUCUAGGCUUCCCUAUUCUUAAACUGUGAGGAGGUUAUAAGAUCUGGCGACCAUGAUGACAAUGAAGAAGCGACGAAAAGGAUGAUGAGGAUGGCAAUGAUGGUGCUAAUUAGAAGCGACGAAGAUGCGACAAUGAACAUAGCAGGGAUCUUAUGAAGCAUAAGUUCAAGAAAAUUUUCUUCAUUUGUGAGCAAUUGAUCAACGUGACAGAGUGACCAGUGUCUUCAAAGGAGUGGGUUUGGAAGCUUAUUACUAGAAGGAUUGGAUUUGAUCUUAACAACGUAGAUUUGGUUUUUCUUGAUACAUAUUUUCUUUAAUUCAUUGGCUGCUACUGCUGCAGGCUUAUUUUUCUUUUAGUUUUUGUUUUGACAUUUACAACAACUUGCAUCAUGGUUUUUCUAAUCUUUCUACUGACCUUCAUUUACUUUUCCUACCCAUCUAUCUCACAUGCCAAAGCUUUUUAUAAAUGCAAUUGUCUCUAUUUUUGCAGCCUGCGUUUUUGAGGCCAGUAGUGUGGUAAGUUGUCAUGAGGGUGUUCAUGUGUUUUCUAGAACUAAUGUUGAUUCAUGAGAGGCCAGUGGUGUGGGACAAUCUACAACUUUUAAAACAGCCGUAUUGCUAUGCCACAUAGAAGGCUAAUGGGACACGUUAUAUGAUGUCAAUCACCUGCAAUGAACGUCAUUUGAUUGACCGAAAAUUUCAGUUUCAAAAGGUCCAUAUUUGGUUUCCAUGCAGAUUUUUGAGUGGGGUAUGCAAGAACUUUGGCAGGGCCUCAAUCUAUGUAGACGCCUUCAGCUAUAACCCCAAGGUUGCUAUACUGCUAAAUUCUAAUAGACUAGAAUGAA
Prosopis cineraria is the source of this 1192-nucleotide long non-coding RNA. RefSeq lists it as uncharacterized. NCBI's taxonomy places the organism in Eukaryota, Viridiplantae, Streptophyta, Magnoliopsida, Fabales, Fabaceae. The transcript is spliced from 6 exons. The record is from RefSeq and is a predicted model, not a curated record.